UACGAGGGGUGCAAGCGUUGCUCGGAAUUAUUGGGCGUAAAGGGCAAGUAGGUGGUCUCAUUUGUCUGGGGUGAAAGCCUUGAGCUUAACUCAAGAAGUGCCCCGGAAACGGUGAGACUCGAGUACUGGAGAGGGUCGUGGAAUUCCCGGUGUAGCGGUGAAAUGCGUAGAGAUCGGGAGGAACACCAGAGGCGAGGGCGGCGACCUGGACAGUUACUGACACUCAACUGCGAAAGCGUGGGGAGCAAACAGG
Molecule: ribosomal RNA, 253 nt
Filed under: uncultured bacterium
Lineage: Bacteria
Description: partial 16S ribosomal RNA
Rfam family: Bacterial small subunit ribosomal RNA
Source: RNAcentral